Molecule: ribosomal RNA, 434 nt
Filed under: uncultured Acinetobacter sp.
Lineage: Bacteria; Pseudomonadati; Pseudomonadota; Gammaproteobacteria; Moraxellales; Moraxellaceae
Description: bacterial SSU rRNA
Rfam family: Bacterial small subunit ribosomal RNA
Source: RNAcentral
GCGGCGGACGGGUGAGUAAUGCUUAGGAAUCUGCCUAUGAGUGGGGGACAACAUUCCGAAAGGAAUGCUAAUACCGCAUACGCCCUACGGGGGAAAGCAGGGGAUCUUCGGACCUUGCGCUAAUAGAUGAGCCUAAGUCGGAUUAGCUAGUUGGUGGGGUAAAGGCCUACCAAGGCGACGAUCUGUAGCGGGUCUGAGAGGAUGAUCCGCCACACUGGGACUGAGACACGGCCCAGACUCCUACGGGAGGCAGCAGUGGGGAAUAUUGGGCAUUGGGCGAAAGCCUGAUCCAGCCAUGCCGCGUGUGUGAAGAAGGCCUUUUGGUUGUAAAGCACUUUAAGCGAGGAGGAGGCUACUUGGAUUAAUACUAUUGGAUAGUGGACGUUACUCGCAGAAUAAGCACCGGCUAACUCUGUGCCAGCAGCCGCGGUAAU